CCUACGGGAGGCAGCAGCCAGGAAUCUUGGGCAAUGGGCGAAAGCCUGACCCAGCAACACCGUGUGGGUGAUGAAGGCCUUCGGGUCGUAAAGCCCUGUUGAUAGGGACGAAGGGCGAAGGGUUAAUAGCCCGGAGCUUGACGGUACCUUUCGAGGAAGCCCCGGCUAACUACGUGCCAGCAGCCGCGGUAAUACGUAGGGGGCGAGCGUUGUCCGGAAUUAUUGGGCGUAAAGAGCGUGUAGGCGGUUCGGUAAGUCUGUCGUGAAAUCCUGGGGCUCAACCCCGGGCGUGCGAUGGAUACUGCCGGGCUAGAGGGUGGUAGAGGCGAGUGGAAUCCCCGGUGUAGCGGUGAAAUGCGCAGAUAUCGGGAGGAACACCAGUAGCGAAGGCGGCUCGCUGGGCCACACCUGACGCUGAGACGCGAAAGCUAGGGGAGCGAACAGGAUUAGAUACCCUGGUAGUCCUAGCCGUAAACGAUGGACACUAGGUGUGGGCGGAGUCGAAUCUGUCUGUGCCGAAGCCAACGCGUUAAGUGUCCCGCCUGGGGAGUACGGCCGCAAGGCUAAAACUCAAAAGAAUUGACGGGGGCCCGCACAAGCAGCGGAGCAUGUUCUUUAAUUCGAUGCAACGCGAAGAACCUUACCUGGACUUGACAUGGUGCUGCGAGCGCACGGAAACGUGUGACCUUCGAGGGUGCACCACAGAUGCUGCAUGGCUGUCGUCAGCUCGUGUCGUGAGAUGUUGGGUUAAGUCCCGCAACGAGCGCAACCCCCGUGGUGUGUUGCCAUCAUUAAGUUGGGGACUCACACCAGACUGCCGGUGACAAACCGGAGGAACGUGGGGGACGACGUCAAGUCAUCAUGGCUCUUACGUCCAGGGCUAGAAACGUGCUACAAUGGCGCCUACAAAGGGUUGCAGACCGCAAGGUGGAGCGAAUCUCAUCAAAGGGCGUCUAAGUUCCGGAUCGCAGUCUGCACUCGACUGCGUGAAGGCGGAGUUGCUAGUAAUCGCGGAUCAGCAUGCCGCGUGAAUACGUUUCCCGG
RNAcentral lists this ribosomal RNA (1044 nucleotides) under uncultured bacterium. RNAcentral's name for it is "bacterial SSU rRNA". It matches the Rfam family "Bacterial small subunit ribosomal RNA", at positions 338 to 1377 of the family's 1533-position model. The record is from RNAcentral.